CAGCCGCCGCGGUAAUACAGAGGGUGCGAGCGUUAAUCGGAUUUACUGGGCGUAAAGCGUGCGUAGGCGGCUAAUUGAGUCGGAUGUGAAAUCCACGAGCUUAACUUGGGAAUUGCAUUCGAUACUGGUUAGCUAGAGUGUGGGAGAGGAUGGUAGAAUUCCAGGUGUAGCGGUGAAAUGCGUAGAGAUCUGGAGGAAUACCGAUGGCGAAGGCAGCCAUCUGGCCUAACACUGACGCUGAGGUACGAAAGCAUGGGGAGCAAACAGGAUUAGAUACCCCCGUAGUCCCUGUCUCUUAUAU
This 301-nucleotide ribosomal RNA is filed under the name uncultured bacterium. RNAcentral describes it as "partial 16S ribosomal RNA". It matches the Rfam family "Bacterial small subunit ribosomal RNA", at positions 509 to 809 of the family's 1533-position model. The record is from RNAcentral.